AUACUUACCUGGCACAGGAGAUACCGUGAUCACGAAGGCGGUUCUCCCAGGACGAGGCUCACCAUUGCACUCCGGUGGGGCUGACCCCUGCGAUUAACCCAAAUGUGGUUACUCGAGUUCUCAAUUUUUGUUAGUCGUGGGACUGCGUUCGCGCUAUCCCCCA
This 163-nucleotide small nuclear RNA is filed under the name Penaeus monodon (black tiger shrimp). Its description in RNAcentral is "U1 spliceosomal RNA". It matches the Rfam family "U1 spliceosomal RNA". From Rfam's summary of the family: U1 is a small nuclear RNA (snRNA) component of the spliceosome (involved in pre-mRNA splicing). Its 5' end forms complementary base pairs with the 5' splice junction, thus defining the 5' donor site of an intron. The record is from RNAcentral. Lineage: Eukaryota; Metazoa; Arthropoda; Malacostraca; Decapoda; Penaeidae.